Long non-coding RNA from Papaver somniferum (opium poppy), 2865 nucleotides. RefSeq lists it as uncharacterized. The record is from RefSeq and is a predicted model, not a curated record. The transcript is spliced from 2 exons. Lineage: Eukaryota; Viridiplantae; Streptophyta; Magnoliopsida; Ranunculales; Papaveraceae.
AAUAAGCCAUUUUCGUCCCCGUUGGCGAAAUGAAUACAAUACCAAUUCCAUUGCCUUCUCUAUUGGAGGAUCCAUCCACCAAAAUCUCCCAUCUGUUUGAGUUUCGCUCAGUUAAUAAAUCAUUAGGAUUUCCAUGUUCGUCAUCCACCUCCAUUAUUUCUUCUACAUAUUCAUCUUAUUCUACUGGAAAUUCUGCGAGCAAUUCUGCUAUAACUUGAGACUUUGGCGAAGAUAAAAUUUCAUAGCCGAUGUCAUAAUUUCCUAACUGUGCGUUCCACCUUUCUAUUCUUCCCGACCUCUUCGAAUUCUUCAUUGCAUUUUCAAUUGGUACUCUUGUUAAUACUUUAAUCUUGUGGGCUUGAAAAUAAAUGCGGAAUUUUUCUGAUAUUUGAAUAAUUUUGAUAUUUGAAUAAUUUUUUUAAUGGUGAAUGAUGCAUAUACCAGUGCGAGAAUCAUUUUUUUGAUAUUUGAAUAAUUUUUCUAUGCGCAAUUAUAGGUUUUGCUUAUAUAAUAUAUUGGUUUCUCCACACCUUCCUCCGAUCGUAAUAAUACUGCACUUACUGCAUGGGAUGUUGAUGCUAAGUACAAUAAUAGUUCUUCUCCUUGUUUCGCCUUUUGCAUAAUGGAUAGGUUCACCAAAUAAUCUUUUAUGCUUUGCAAUGCUUUAUCACAUUCCAUUGUCCAUUCAAAUUUGGUUCCCUUUUUUAGUAUAAAAGAUUAUUUGGUGAACCUAUCCAUUAUGAAAAUUUGAAUCUUAUGUGGUGGAUCGUAAUAAUAUUCUUCUCCUUGUUCCGAAGAUCUCGCAAUGAACCUUCCCAACGAUGCUAUCAAUCCAUUCAAUUUUUGAACAUCCUUGACUGUUGCAGGUGGUGGCAUAUCUCUGAUUGCUUGGAAUUUUUCUGGAUCCACUUGUAUUACCUCCUUAGAUAUAAUAUAGCCUAGGAAUUUUCCUGAUGCUACACCAAUUAUACAUUUUUCUGGAUUUACCUUAAUAUUGAAUGUUCGCAUUUGCUCAAAUAUUUCUCGCAAAUCAUCAACAUGGUCUUUCACCUCUUUGCUUUUAAUCAGCAUAUCGUCUACAAAACUUCCAGUGUUUUAUGGAUCCAUUUUUCAAAUAAUUUUUGUACCAUUCUUUGAUACGCCGCACCAACAUUCUUCAAUCCAAACGGCAUUUUCGUGUAACAAUAUAAACCUCUCGGUGCGAAGAAAGCAGUGUGUUCUUGAUCUUCUUCUGCUAAUGAAAUCUGAUUAUAGCCUUUGUACCCAUCUAACAUCGUGACUCUAUGAUUCCCUGACGCAGACUCCACCAUUUGGGGUAUGUCGCGUAGAGGGAAGUUAUCUUUCGGGCAUGCUUUAUUUAGAUCUGUAAAAUCCAUACAGAUCAUAAUUCCGUUGUUCUUUUUAGGUACCACCACCAUAUUUGCUAUCCAUUCUGGAUAUUUUGCUUCUCUAAUAAUUCCUGCAUCCAGCAUCUUUUGUAACUCUUCUUUGAUUUUAGGAUGAUAAUCAGUUGCAAUAUUCCUUAUUCUUUGCUUGAAUGGUUUUACAUUAUUCUUAAUGUCUAAUCUAUGACGUGCGACAGAUGGAUCUAUUCCUGGCAUUUCAUCCAUACUCCAUGCGAAAAUAUCACUAUAUGCUCGCAGAAUGUUUAUUGUUUUUUCUUCUUCUUCUUUACCCAUUUUGGUUCUGAUUCUUAAUAUUUUUUGUUCUUCUUCAGUUCCUAUAUUUAUUUCUUUUGUUGGUUCUGCUGCGGUAAAAUUCGCCUUUGGUUCACCCAUAGGUGUUGGUUCCUUCAUUUCUUUAAUUCGUUCACCUUCCUCAGUUGGUUCUUCACCUGGUAUUCAUUUUCCUUCUUUUGCUCUUAUCAUGUAUAUUUGAAACUCCUCUUCUUUUCUUUGUUCUUUCGCUUUUCUCCAUCUAUCCUUUCGUUUCUUUGCUCGUCCUUCGUAAUUUCGCACAUCUAUUUGAUUGCAAGUAUUCACAGCCUUAACGUCUCCUCUGAUUUCACCUAUACCGCUUGGAAUUGUAAAUCUGAUACAUUGAUGUAAUGUUGACGCAACUGCCUUUAAUCCAUGUACCCGUGGUCUCCCCAACAGCAUGUUGUAUGGUGACUCAAUGUCAAGCACACACGGUGUUAUCUUAGUUUCGAUCUCUCCCAGUAAUAUUCGCAUCACGAUCUCUCCCUUUGGCUUUGUAAUUGCUCUAUUGAAUCCAUGAAUAUUAUAUGAUGCGGGUGUAAUUUCUUCAUCUUUGUAUCCCACUGUUUUAAAUGUGCGAUAAGAUAAUAUAACAACUGCACUUCCUGUAUCUAUCAAUGUCUUAUCAAUCGCCAAUCCUUCAAAUGUCCUCUGUUGUGCAGUAACGUUUUCUCGCUCGACUGUAUCUAUAAUUCUACCUUCAUCGUUUCAAUUUUAUUUCCUUCAUGAUUUCUUUUAUGAAUUUUCCCGGUUACCGUCGCUUGGAAAUCUGCCUCAGAAAUUGAUACAUUAGUUAUGUUAUGACACUGUAUAUCUCUGCCUCUUUCUUGAACUGGCUCUAAUGGUUCUCAAACCCCUUGAAAUUUCUCUUUAUCUCUUGUUUGCUUCUACAAAGCAAGAAUAAAUUUUGGUCCCCUGCCGCAUCAUAAGCACAACAAGAGAAGUAGUGGUGAGCGCGGUGUCAUGAACGUCUGCAAGUUAGAUAUCAUUAAGCAUGUCAUCUUCAUAGGCAAUAUUAAUUAAUAUCUGUUGGAUGAUGAAAAAUUAAGAUCGAUCCAUCUGUCUUAUAAUCAGAAGACGAGACAGUGUCUCCUAUAACUCCUAGCUCUUCACACUCAAGAAAACCAUCAUCAAGUCCUGAAAUUAUGUUUGAAUCAGUUAUUUGUUU